UCGACAUGGAGGCUCACAGGCACCCCAAACUCAGCCUGCCCUAAGCUGAACCCAUGAUCUUUCCUUCCAAACUUGUUUCUCACCAGAGUUCCCAUCUUAUCAUCCACCUAGUUGUUCAAGUCAUCCUUAAGACCUCCCUCUCCUUCACUGUCUAUUCUACCUCCCUAAUAUCUCUUAAAUCCUUCCCUCCUCUCCCACCUCACAGCCACCAUCCUAACCUAAGCAGCCACCCUUUCUCACCCUAUAAUGACCUCCUGGCUGUUCUCUAUAGAGUUGGUGAAUCCUUUCGUCUUCAGCCUGAACCCCCUUUCGAGGGAUUCUUAUAUAUAUACAUAGAUAUACACAAAUAUAUAUGUACAUAUGUACAUAUGUGUAUGGGUGUACAUAUGUACAUGUGUAUGGGUGUACAUAUGUACAUAUGUGUAUGGGUGUACAUAUGUACAUAUGUAUAUGGGUGUACAU
Molecule: long non-coding RNA, 462 nt
Filed under: Homo sapiens (human)
Lineage: Eukaryota; Metazoa; Chordata; Mammalia; Primates; Hominidae
Description: HSALNT0024519
Source: RNAcentral